This 497-nucleotide ribosomal RNA is filed under the name uncultured bacterium. RNAcentral's name for it is "partial 16S ribosomal RNA". It matches the Rfam family "Bacterial small subunit ribosomal RNA", at positions 28 to 507 of the family's 1533-position model. The record is from RNAcentral.
GAUGAACGCUGGCGGCGUGCCUAAUACAUGCAAGUCGAGCGAACAGACGAGGAGCUUGCUCCUCUGACGUUAGCGGCGGACGGGUGAGUAACACGUGGAUAACCUACCUAUAAGACUGGGAUAACUUCGGGAAACUGGAGCUAAUACCGGAUAAUAUAUUGAACCGCAUGGUUCAAUAGUGAAAGACGGUUUUGCUGUCACUUAUAGAUGGAUCCGCGCCGCAUUAGCUAGUUGGUAAGGUAACGGCUUACCAAGGCAACGAUGCGUAGCCGACCUGAGAGGGUGAUCGGCCACACUGGAACUGAGACACGGUCCAGACUCCUACGGGAGGCAGCAGUAGGGAAUCUUCCGCAAUGGGCGGAAGCCUGACGGAGCAACGCCGCGUGAGUGAUGAAGGUCUUCGGAUCGUAAAACUCUGUUAUGAGGGAAGAACAAACGUGUAAGUAACUAUGCACGUCUUGACGGUACCUAAUCAGAAAGCCACGGCUAACUACGUG